UUCCGAUUUUGGUUCUUGUGAAGGUUGACCUCGAUUCGUUCCAAAUUUACACCCUCGGGGCAUAAUAGAAUAAUAUAAUUAGCUUUUACACUUUGUUCGAUUGAAUGAGAAAAAGUACUCGUUACAAAGUUAUACUGUUAGGGCGCAAGUGAGUAAUCUAUUGUUGUUCCGGUUAUGCUUCUUGUGAAGCUUGACAUCGAUUCGUUCCAAAUUUACACUCUCGAGGCAUAAUAGAACAAUAUAAUUAGCAUUUACUCUUUUUUCGAUUGAAUGAGAAAAAGUACUCGUCGCAAAGUUCUAUUGUUAGGGCGGAACUGAGUAGUCUUUUUUUGUUCCGGUUUUGGUUCUUGUCAAGGUUGACAUCGAUUCGUACCAAAUUUACACUCUCGGGGCGCAAUAGAACAAUAUAAUUAGCUUUUACUCUUUGUUCGAUUGAAUGAGAAAAAGUACUCGUUGCAAAGUUAUACUGUUAGGGCGCAACUGAGCAGUCUAUUACUGUUUCGGUUUUGGUUCUUGUCAAGGUUGACAUCGAUUCGUACCAAAUUUACACUCUCGGGGCGCAAUAGAACAAUAUAAUUAGCUUUUACUCUUUGUUCGAUUGAAUGAGAAAAAGUACUCGUUGCAAAGUUAUACUGUUAGGGCGCAACUGAGUAGUCUAUUAUUGUACCAGAUUUGGUUCUUGUGAAGGUUGACAUCGAUU
RNAcentral lists this long non-coding RNA (700 nucleotides) under Ananas comosus (pineapple). Its description in RNAcentral is "long non-coding RNA (ACOM_LNC038406)". Lineage: Eukaryota; Viridiplantae; Streptophyta; Magnoliopsida; Poales; Bromeliaceae. The record is from RNAcentral.